GCCCAGAUGGCGGAGUGGUUAACGCAACGGAUUGCUAAUCCGUGCCCUUUCGGGGGCGCGCAAGUUCGAAUCUUGCUCUGGGCG
This 84-nucleotide transfer RNA is filed under the name Candidatus Pacearchaeota archaeon. RNAcentral's name for it is "tRNA-Ser". It matches the Rfam family "tRNA". From Rfam's summary of the family: Transfer RNA (tRNA) molecules are approximately 80 nucleotides in length. Their secondary structure includes four short double-helical elements and three loops (D, anti-codon, and T loops). Further hydrogen bonds mediate the characteristic L-shaped molecular structure. tRNAs have two regions of fundamental functional importance: the anti-codon, which is responsible for specific mRNA codon recognition, and the 3' end, to which the tRNAs corresponding amino acid is attached (by aminoacyl-tRNA synthetases). tRNAs cope with the degeneracy of the genetic code in two manners: having more than one tRNA (with a specific anti-codon) for a particular amino acid; and 'wobble' base-pairing, i.e. permitting non-standard base-pairing at the 3rd anti-codon position. Lineage: Archaea; Nanobdellati. The record is from RNAcentral.